GUUGGGCUGGCAGAAAGAAAGGGCUACUUAAGAUGGCGAAAGUUCCCGCCACAAAACCUGAGCUCCCACAGGAAAACAAAGACCCAAGCAGGAAUCUGAAACACACACCCCACCCCUUCCGGCCCCAGUGGGCCAAUGGAACCCUGACAAGCAAAAUCUGAAACCCCCGCUCCAGCUCCAGUGGACCAGUGGGACCCCAACAAGCAGACGAAUUAUCCAAAUAAGGGAAACUUGCCAAAAGACCGCUGAACUCCCCUCCAGACCCCCUUAAAAGCCCCCUUCUCCCUGCCUCGGGACUUCCCCCACUCGGCUUUCCAGAGUUGCGGAACCUCGGGGGAGGGUCCCCUCCUCCCCCCGUCGCAGUUUUCUUGGCUCCCCUUCUCCUGAGCCCUGAAACUGCGCCGGAGAGUGCCUUUAAUAAAUCUUGCCUUGUGCCUACUUCGCCUGGUGUGUUUAUCUCGCUGGAAAAGCUUUACAUUCGGUGUGAAACCGGGAGGGGAUCGAGCCUCUGCCUCCCCACGGGGGCUCUCCCCUCCACCUCCGGACUGGGACUCAGCACUUCCUUCACUCGGCUCUGAAAGUCGCUGCGGCUGGAUCGAGGCAUACUCCAUGGCCUGGGAAACAGUGGAUGUGGUGGCUACAAUACUCAUUGAGCACAUCAUCCCGAGGUUCAGAUUGCCCCGGACCCUCCAGUCGGACAACGGACCGCCUUCAUCUCCAGUGUAACCCAACAGGUAGCUAAGAGCCUCAACAUAACCUGCAAACUUCACAUCCCAUACCACCCACAGUCAUCAGGGUCGCCUACAAGAACUUGUCCGAGUGUCCGUCAAUCAACUCCUCCUUCAGCCCUACUCUAGCCUGCCCACUUCCGACUACCCCUAUGACGACGCCCCCCCAUCAGCAGGAAGUAGCCAGAACUGAGUCAAGGCCCCUGGCACCAUUAUAUAAAGCAAAAGGUCGGAAUGUUGGGCUGGCAGGAAGAAAGGGCUACUUAAGAUGGCAAAAGUUCCCGCCACAAAACCUGAGCUCAGACAGGAGA
Molecule: RNA transcript, 1039 nt
Organism: Mustela erminea (ermine)
Lineage: Eukaryota; Metazoa; Chordata; Mammalia; Carnivora; Mustelidae
Gene name: syncytin-1-like
Exons: 3
Source: RefSeq, a predicted model, not a curated record